RNAcentral lists this ribosomal RNA (373 nucleotides) under uncultured eukaryote. Its description in RNAcentral is "partial 18S ribosomal RNA". It matches the Rfam family "Eukaryotic small subunit ribosomal RNA", at positions 592 to 976 of the family's 1831-position model. The record is from RNAcentral.
CAAUAGCGUAUAUUUAAGUUGUUGCAGUUAAAAAGCUCGUAGUUGGAUUUCGGUUGAGAACGGCCGGUCCGCCGUUUGGUGUGCACUGGCUGGUUUCAACUUCCUGUAGAGGACGCGCUCUGGCUUCACGGCUGGACGCGGAGUCUACGUGGUUACUUUGAAAAAAUUAGAGUGUUCAAAGCGGGCUUACGCUUGAAUAUUUCAGCAUGGAAUAACACUACAGGACUCCUGUCCUAUUUCGUUGGUCUCGGGACGGGAGUAAUGAUUAAGAGGAACAGUUGGGGGCAUUCGUAUUUCAUUGUCAGAGGUGAAAUUCUUGGAUUUAUGAAAGACGAACUUCUGCGAAAGCAUUUGCCAAGGAUGUUUUCAUUAA